RNAcentral lists this ribosomal RNA (459 nucleotides) under uncultured bacterium. Its description in RNAcentral is "partial 16S ribosomal RNA". It matches the Rfam family "Bacterial small subunit ribosomal RNA", at positions 338 to 795 of the family's 1533-position model. The record is from RNAcentral.
CCUACGGUGGGCAGCAGUGAGGAAUAUUGGUCAAUGGGCGCGAGCCUGAACCAGCCAAGUAGCGUGAAGGAUGACUGCCCUACGGGUUGUAAACUUCUUUUAUCAAGGAAUAAAGUGAGGCACGUGUGCCUUUUUGUAUGUACUUUAUGAAAAAGCAUCGGCUACCUCCGUGCCAGCAGCCGCGUUACUACGGAGGAUGCUAGCGUUAUCCGGAUUUAUUGGGUUUAAAGUGUGCGUAGGGGGUCCGUUAAGUCAGCGGUAAAAUUGCGGGGCUCAACCCCGUCGAGACGUUGACACUGGCAGACUUGAGUUGGCGAGAAGUACGCGGAAGGCGCGGUGUAGCGGUGAAAUGCAUAGAUAUCGCGCAGAACUCCGAUUGCGAAGGCAGCGUACCGGCGCCAGACUGACGCUGAGGCACGAAAGCGUGGGGAUCGAACAGGAUUAGAUACCCGUGUAGUC